AUUGAACGCUGGCGGCAGGCCUAACACAUGCAAGUCGAGCGAGAGGCGGACGGGGGAGUAAUGUAGGGGGAUCUGCCCGAUAGAGGGGGAUAAAUACCGGAAACGGUGGCUAAUACCGCAUACUAUGGGAUGAAACCAUAUGGGAUUAGCUAGUAGGUGGGGAAAAGGCUACCCUAGGCGAGGAUCUCUAGCUGGUCUGAGAGGAUGAUCUGCCACACUGGGACUGAGACACGGCCCAGACUCCUACGGGAGGCAGCAGUGGGGAAUAUUGCACAAUGGGCGCAAGCCUGAUGCAGCCAUGCCGCGUGUAUGAAGAAGGCCUUAGGGUUGUAAAGUACUUUCAGCGGGGAGGCGUUACCCGCAGAAGAAGCACCGGCUAACUUCGUGCCAGCAGCCGCGGUAAUAC
This 406-nucleotide ribosomal RNA is filed under the name uncultured bacterium. RNAcentral describes it as "partial 16S ribosomal RNA". It matches the Rfam family "Bacterial small subunit ribosomal RNA", at positions 29 to 526 of the family's 1533-position model. The record is from RNAcentral.